RNAcentral lists this ribosomal RNA (327 nucleotides) under uncultured eukaryote. RNAcentral describes it as "partial 18S ribosomal RNA". It matches the Rfam family "Eukaryotic small subunit ribosomal RNA", at positions 1470 to 1796 of the family's 1831-position model. The record is from RNAcentral.
CCCUUAGAUGUUCUGGGCCGCACACGCGCUACACUGAAGGAGGCAGCGUGUACUCCUGGAUCGAAAGAUUUGGGUAACCCGCGAAUCUCCUUCGUGCUAGGGAUUGAGGUUUGCAAUUAUCCUUCAUGAACGAGGAAUUCCCAGUAAGUGCAAGUCAUAAGCUUGCGCUGACUACGUCCCUGCCCUUUGUACACACCGCCCGUCGCUACUACCGAUUGAAUGAUUUAGUGAGGACUUCGGACUGGGACCGAUGCGGCUUUCGGGCUGCGUCGGUAUUCUGGAAAGAUGUCCAAACUGUAUCAUUUAGAGGGAGUAAAAGUCGUAACA